This 607-nucleotide ribosomal RNA is filed under the name uncultured bacterium. RNAcentral describes it as "bacterial SSU rRNA". It matches the Rfam family "Bacterial small subunit ribosomal RNA", at positions 331 to 929 of the family's 1533-position model. The record is from RNAcentral.
CCAGACUCCUACGGGAGGCAGCAGUGGGGAAUCUUCCGCAAUGGGCGCAAGCCUGACGGAGCAACGCCGCGUGAGUGAAGAAGGUCUUCGGAUCGUAAAGCUCUGUUGACGGGGACGAACGUGCGGAGUGCGAAUAGCGCUUUGUAAUGACGGUACCUGUCGAGGAAGCCACGGCUAACUACGUGCCAGCAGCCGCGGUAAUACGUAGGUGGCGAGCGUUGUCCGGAAUCAUUGGGCGUAAAGGGAGCGCAGGCGGGCCGGUAAGUCUUACUUAAAAGUGCGGGGCUCAACCCCGUGAUGGGAGAGAAACUAUCGGUCUUGAGUACAGGAGAGGAAAGCGGAAUUCCCAGUGUAGCGGUGAAAUGCGUAGAUAUUGGGAAGAACACCAGUGGCGAAGGCGGCUUUCUGGACUGCAACUGACGCUGAGGCUCGAAAGCCAGGGGAGCGAACGGGAUUAGAUACCCCGGUAGUCCUGGCCGUAAACGAUGGAUACUAGGUGUGGGAGGUAUCGACCCCUACCGUGCCGGAGUUAACGCAAUAAGUAUCCCGCCUGGGGAGUACGGCCGCAAGGCUGAAACUCAAAGGAAUUGACGGGGGCCCGCACAAG